AUUCCUACGGGAGGCAGCAGUGGGGAAUAUUGCACAAUGGGCGAAAGCCUGAUGCAGCGACGCCGCGUGAGGGAUGACGGCCUUCGGGUUGUAAACCUCUUUCAGUAGGGAAGAAGCGAGAGUGACGGUGCCUGCAGAAGAAGCGCCGGCUAACUACGUGCCAGCAGCCGCGGUAAUAAU
Molecule: ribosomal RNA, 180 nt
Filed under: uncultured bacterium
Lineage: Bacteria
Description: partial 16S ribosomal RNA
Rfam family: Bacterial small subunit ribosomal RNA
Source: RNAcentral